GCACUAUAACCUCAUCCUGCCCCUGCUACUUGGAAAUGUGUGCUGAAAGAAAUCCAGAGGAAAUCCAGACAAAGCAUACUUGACCUUGUAUUCUGUCUCUACACCUCUGCCACAUUU
Molecule: small nucleolar RNA, 117 nt
Organism: Bufo bufo (common toad)
Lineage: Eukaryota; Metazoa; Chordata; Amphibia; Anura; Bufonidae
Product: small nucleolar RNA SNORA55
Exons: 1
Source: RefSeq, a predicted model, not a curated record